GAUGAACGCUGGCGGCGUGCCUAAUACAUGCAAGUCGAGCGAACGGACGAGAAGCUUGCUUCUCUGAUGUUAGCGGCGGACGGGUGAGUAACACGUGGAUAACCUACUUAUAAGACUGGGAUAACUUCGGGAAACCGGAGCUAAUACCGGAUAAUAUUUUGAACCGCAUGGUUCAAAAGUGAAAGACGGUCUUGCCGUCACUGAUAGAUGGAUCCGCGCUGCAUUAGCUAGUUGGUAAGGUAACGGCUUACCAAGGCAACGAUGGAUAGCCGACCUGAGAGGGAGAUCGGUCACACAGGAACUGAGAAACGGCACAGGCGCAAACGGGAGGCAGCAGUAGAGAAUGUUGCGAGAAGGGGGGAAGCCGGACGGAGCAACGCCGCGGGAGUGAUGAAGCUCCCAGAAGCGGAAAACUCUCUGAAGAGGGUAGAGCAUAUGUGGGAGAAGCCGUGAGCAUCUUGUCGGUACGUGUUCAGAAAGCCACGGCGAACUGGAU
Molecule: ribosomal RNA, 496 nt
Filed under: uncultured bacterium
Lineage: Bacteria
Description: partial 16S ribosomal RNA
Rfam family: Bacterial small subunit ribosomal RNA
Source: RNAcentral